Molecule: ribosomal RNA, 302 nt
Filed under: uncultured soil bacterium
Lineage: Bacteria
Description: bacterial SSU rRNA
Rfam family: Bacterial small subunit ribosomal RNA
Source: RNAcentral
AGAUUGAACGCUGGCGGCAGGCCUAACACAUGCAAGUCGAGCGGUAGAGAGGUGCUUGCAUCUCUUGAGAGCGGCGGACGGGUGAGUAAUGCCUAGGAAUCUGCCUAGUGGUGGGGGAUAACGUUCGGAAACUUACGCUAAUACCGCAUACGCCCUUUGGGGGAAAGCCGGGGAUCGCAAGACCUGGCGCGGAUAGAUGAGCCGAUGUCGGAUUAGCUAGUUGGUGAGGUAAUGGCUCACCAAGGCGACGAUCCGUAGCUGGUCUGAGAGGAUGAUCAGCCACACGUGGGACUGAGACACGG